Molecule: long non-coding RNA, 1656 nt
Organism: Ooceraea biroi (clonal raider ant)
Lineage: Eukaryota; Metazoa; Arthropoda; Insecta; Hymenoptera; Formicidae
Source: RefSeq, a predicted model, not a curated record
CUCUCGGUCCAGCCGUCCUUGCCGCUAUCCGUUGUCGUUCUUCUUUUUCUUUCGUCGUGGUCACCGUUCCGACCGUCGGCCACCCGAGGGCACCUCUCCCCCAACAACCCUCCGCGAUACGAAACGGAGCGGAGCGCAACGGCGCGCUUCCGGUGCACAUCGAUGGCUACUUCCGUUCACGCUCGAAGAGCUCGUCGACGCUACACCGGCCACACGGAAGGGUCGUUUCUCGCGGUCUCCGGGUGGAGAGUACGCCCCAACGUGCUCGCCGUAAACGCGGGGGUAAUCGCGCGCUGCUGGACUCACGCUCGCGCGCGUUCGCCUGCCCGUUAACCCUUCUCCGGCGGGAACAGCAUUCUUGUCGGAUGAACGGAUUUUAAUUGCACGGCUGGCUUAUAGGAGCGAUUAGGAUAACCGAUACUCGAUCCCUCGACUUCGUGCAAUCCGAAUCGGGAACGACGUCCCGAGGCAUAUUUUAAGGAUCUUCACUGGAGCAACAAAAUGAUAUUUUGAGGAUUUUCAGCGAACGACGAGAGUAUAUUUUCGAUUUUUCAGCAAAAAGAUUCCUGUACCUGCGAGAUGAAGUUUGAAAAGUGCAGACAGGCCAAGGAAUAACGCGGAAGUAAUCUGCUUUGAAGGCGACGACGAAAAUGUUUAUCGUAUUCCACCACUGAUCGCUAUGACGCGCACAAAUAAUAAAUCUUAUCGACUCGUCGGGAUAUCACGAAUAAAUCUUGGAACUCGAUUUCCUCCUGAGGGACAACAUCGUGCUGGUUAUCGCGCGGCAUUUCCAUGCAGAGUAACGUGAGCGAUCUCUACCAUUUCCCAUUUUCGCGUGCUAUCAUCGAAGGGCUAUAGGUUGAAAUCAUGUCUGAAUCGAUAAAGCUUAUGACAGUUGCUAAAAUAAAGGUAUUAAAUUAUUUUAGAAAUAUUUGUGAUGUACGUGAGAUGUCAAAAAUAAAAAAAGGGGAAUUUAUAGAAGCUGUCUCCGAAACAUGUUUAGCUUGGACGUUAAUAUGAUCUUGCUGCAGCUAACUAAAAAUUUUUAUUUCAUCUAGUAUGCAAAUAAACGUACUCGUCUGAGGGAAAAUAGAAAACCUAUGUUCACGGUUGGUUCCUCUGCUAUAGAGCGUUGUUGCAGCAUCCGUUACGCGAAAACAGGAAAAAAGAAUAUGUUAAAGAAAAGUUUCAUCUUGCUCAAAGAAAUUCGAAAGAAGUUGCACAAUUGUUGAGUUAUUAUCUAUUAAUCGACUAUUCUGUACAUGCACUGAACAUUUUAACCAUGUUUUUAAUACUGGGACAUCAUAUGGGAGAAAUUAGCUCAUUUGUCGCAUCUUUCUCCGACUAAAGCCGGGACAACGGAGAAGCGAUAAUUUCUAUUGACAUAAUGCCAAUAAUAAUGUCGAUACAAGGAAAUCACAUGGAGCAACAUGAUAAAACAGAUGGCGGACCGAAGGAGGAAUCGACGUAUACCGAAACGCGAGUCGAAGGGGUGACUGAAGUGACGAUAAAUAAUGCAGCAGCUUUGCUUCCUGCUUUAGUUAUUAAGUGAACUAUUCAUGCAUCCUGAAUGCUUCACCGGAACAGCUAUACCUACCAUGUUUCCAUGUGUAUCGCGCACUAUCUCAACACAAUAAAUGAAAGAAAAUUAUAUGC